UAUUAUUAUUGCAAUUUCAUCAAUGCCGUCGGUCCAUAGGAAUGCCGUCUGCGUUACGCAAAUAAGCAUCAGCUACAAGUUUCGGAACAUGUUUAAUCCUGUGAACCAGUUUUCAAUGAACAAGGGAUAAUGCGGGGACUUUCCAUGUCUAAAUGUGUACGUAGUGUGUUAAGUGGAAUAUACGCCUAUGCAAAUCAGCGUUGAUCUCUGCCUUUAUAUACCAAUGAGGCCAAAGAAUGAAACAGAGCAAUUGAAUGUAGGUGGCGUUUUUUCUCUUUCUAAAUCUGACAUCAGUACUUAUGACAGAUGAAUCAGCAACUGUUGAGAGUCCUAAGAUUCGGUUACUUGGUAGCAGAAUGAAUCACCGAGUAGUGGUGAUGAUGUUUUUAAAACGGCGGCACAGAGAAAAUGAAAGAAAAACCGAAGGAAAAGAAAAAACGAGAUGAGAAAGAAUAAGACAAACACGAAACUACCUUCGUCUGAACUUCCCAAUGUGCUGUUCCAAUUAUUGCUGUUCUUGUGCUAGCGACCCGAAACGUUAGAGCAUUUCCUACAGCUCUGUAAUCAGGAGAAUGAAUUGCAGUUUCCAGUGUACUCGAGGGGACAGAGUAGACAAAUGUUCAUCCUGGGCUGUCCUGCCUGUUCAGCUCUGUGGACUUGGAGGCUCUGGCAGGAGGGUGUGUGGCUGGUGACGAACUCACAGUGGAAAACACAGCCCUGCCACGAGUGGGCCUGAAAGAAGAAGAUGAGUAAUGCUUCAGAUGACGGGAGAUUGUUGGUGUGAAAAAAAUCACUGAUUCACCAUGUGCUACAACAGCCUGCUUCUUUUAAAAACAGUGUUGAAAACUGCUAUCAAAAAAUAUAAUCUUACCAGCACACGCUGAGCUCGGUAGCACUGGUCUUUCCAUGUAUGGUUGCAUUUCUGAAGCCCUUAAUUUUCAUGUCAGCUAACAGAAAUGUAUAAAUGUGGGAAAGAUACCACCAAAUGCUGUUGUUUCUUAGAAUAUUAUCGCAUUAUAUGUCCUCAGGUUGUCAUUUUGUUGUAAUGUUCUGGAUGCUUUGGCUCAGUUCUUACUUCACUACGCUUGAGGUUAAUGUCUCUAAGCCAGUGGCGGCUGAGUUCCGGCGUGACUCUUGAGCUCAGAGAGAGCUGGAGUUGAAUUUGAUUUUACAAGGUUUGCCCGGUUCCAUGCGUGUAACACAAUGCAGGCCUUGCCAUGUUUUCAACAUGGCUAUUAGGACUGGGGCUGUGGGCUGAGAUGGCGACAUGUGACAGGAAAAGGAAAUGAGGUAUGUAGCCCUGCGAUGUGAUUGGCUGAGUUGAGAUAUCAAGCCAUAAAAGUGACAGGAAGAAUGCCAGUGUUGGCUCUUUCUUCAUUGAGGCUGAUGAGCUAAGAACAGCAAGGUUUCAGUGGCAGCAAAAUUGGUACCGACAUGAAAAUUACUUUAAGAUAUUAUGAAGUUAAACUGGAAGAUUCCAUAGAGAGGUGAAAGAAGCCCAGGUAAUAAUUUUGAAAACCUAAUAAAAUGUUUGAGAUUUAAA
This is a long non-coding RNA of Lepisosteus oculatus (spotted gar), 1543 nucleotides long. RefSeq lists it as uncharacterized. The record is from RefSeq and is a predicted model, not a curated record. Lineage: Eukaryota; Metazoa; Chordata; Actinopteri; Semionotiformes; Lepisosteidae.